GACGAACGCUGGCGGCGUGCCUAACACAUGCAAGUCGAACGGAAAGGCCCUGCUCUUGCGGGGUUCUCGAGUGGCGAACGGGUGAGUAACACGUGAGUAACCUGCCCUUGACUUUGGGAUAACAUCAGGAAACUGGGGCUAAUACCGGAUAUGAUCUCCUGCUGCAUGGUGGGGGUUGGAAAGUUUCGGCGGUUGGGGAUGGACUCGCGGCUUAUCAGCUUGUUGGUGGGGUAGUGGCUUACCAAGGCUUUGACGGGUAGCCGGCCUGAGAGGGUGACCGGCCACAUUGGGACUGAGAUACGGCCCAGACUCCUACGGGAGGCAGCAGUGGGGAAUAUUGCACAAUGGGCGGAAGCCUGAUGCAGCAACGCCGCGUGCGGGAUGACGGCCUUCGGGUUGUAAACCGCUUUCGCCUGUGACGAAGCGUGAGUGACGGUAAUGGGUAAAGAAGCACCGGCUAACUACGUG
RNAcentral lists this ribosomal RNA (468 nucleotides) under uncultured bacterium. Its description in RNAcentral is "partial 16S ribosomal RNA". It matches the Rfam family "Bacterial small subunit ribosomal RNA", at positions 28 to 507 of the family's 1533-position model. The record is from RNAcentral.